Long non-coding RNA from Vanessa tameamea, 925 nucleotides. RefSeq lists it as uncharacterized. NCBI's taxonomy places the organism in Eukaryota, Metazoa, Arthropoda, Insecta, Lepidoptera, Nymphalidae. The transcript is spliced from 2 exons. The record is from RefSeq and is a predicted model, not a curated record.
UUAAGGAUAAAUUUAAUAUAAAUUAAGAAACACUAAGUAACGUUCAUUAAAAAUCUGGAACCACUAAGGCACUACAUAAAGUUGUCCAAGCAUCACGAAGCAACUUAUAGUCCGGCUACACGACUAACAAUUUGCAAUUGUAUAGUAAUUAUAAACAGUUAACUCUACUUCAAAGAGAUCUUUCGUUAUACUAGGAAAAAACUCGAGAAAACAAGAACUAAAUUAGUCAGUACAUAAUCUCCUUCACACUAUUUCAAAUAUUUGAGUCGUCAAUUCUAUGAACCACAGAUUAAAAUAGUUUAAAAAUACUUGUACCGCGUAGACGUUUCGAACAACAAGUAGGAAUAUAUGUAUAUAUUGGAAUUCGUUAUGUGCAGCCGGACAGCAUAAGAAAAUAGGACUGAGUUAUCUUUACGGAAAUUGGAAUGUAUAGUUUACUCUAUAUUAUAUUUAUAUACGAGGUAAAUGCUGUAACAUACAUAGUAAACGUUUAUGCUAAGGUCGAGAUAUAUAUUGUUAAAUUAUUUAUCAAGUUCGCUCAAUUUGUUCCCGAAGUUUAUAAUAUUAAGUAGAUCAUAAUUGGUGUAGUAUAGAUUGGAUCCAAUGUUGGCAAGCUUUCUAAAUGGUUCUAAAUGUAAGGUACGUAAUAUAUUUACAAUAGCUGUGCUCAAAAUUACAAUAAAAAUCUUUUAUACCCUAGAUAAAAUGCCUAAUGGGUGCAAUUAUUGAACUAAUAUUGACCGAUUAGUUAGAUAAUAUUAUAAGAACAGUAUGCAAGAAAUAUCUCCGAAUACUUUGUAGUAAUAAACUUACAGAGAGUAAAAUAAAACUAUUUUGUAUUUUCUACAUAAUUGACACCGGUAACGCAGUAUCCUACUUUAUCUAGUUAUUGUACUAAGUGGUAUGGUAGCUUCGCGAGUCUUAA